Molecule: non-coding RNA, 4843 nt
Organism: Delphinapterus leucas (beluga whale)
Lineage: Eukaryota; Metazoa; Chordata; Mammalia; Artiodactyla; Monodontidae
Source: RefSeq, a predicted model, not a curated record
CGCAGGCCACAGCUAGCUUUCCCGCUCGCCCCCUUUCCGUCAGCAAUAUAGGUUGCCCCCGGACAGCCAGCCAAUCAGGAGCGCGGUAGCAUCUUGCCCUCGCUCUAAGGCAGCUAGCGGUCGGAAUUUGAGGGAGUUAGCGCUGCCGCCUAUCUCUGGCAGCAGGCGGUGGUUUAAAGAAGGUGGCGGGAAGCCGGUGUUUGGUCGAAUUCGUCACUCUCAUGGUCGCUUGGAUUUUUCACAUUCAAAAUUAACAAAGCAAAAUAAGCCAAGAUGUCUGUUGAUCCGAUGACCUAUGAGGCCCAGUUCUUUGGCUUCACACCGCAAACUUGCAUGCUUAGGAUCUACAUUGCAUUUCAAGAUUACCUGUUUGAAGUGAUGCAGGCUGUUGAACAGGUUAUUCUGAAGAAGCUGGAUGGCAUCCCAGACUGUGCGAUUAGCCCAGUCCAGAUUCGUAAGUGCACGGAAAAGUUUCUUUGCUUCAUGAAAGGACGUUUUGAUAACCUUUUUGGCAAAAUGGAGCAGCUGUUUUUACAGUUGAUUUUGCGUAUUCCCCCAAACGUCUUGCUUCCGGAAGAUAAACCUCAGGAGACGCAUCCUUAUAGUGAGGAAGAAUUCCAGCUUCUCCAAAAAGAAAUUGAACAGUUACAGGAGAAGUAUAAGACUGAAUUAUGCACUAAGCAGGCCCUUCUUGCAGAAUUAGAAGAGCAAAAAAUUGUUCAGGCCAAACUCAAACAGACAUUGUCUUUGUUUGAUGAGCUUGAAAAUGUUGGCAGAGACCACGGGACUAGUGAUUUUAGGGAGAGCUUGCUGUUCCUGGUCCAGAACUCCAGAAAACUACACAAUAUUAGAGACAAUGUGGAAAAGGAAGGCAAAAGACUGAAAAUAUCUUAAUGUCUAAAUAAUAAAAGGAGUUUGUCAGAAUGUGGAAUGAUAAGGGGUUUAUAUCAAUGACCAUUCUGAUCCUAGUGAACUGUGUACUUUGGGGGCGUCUUCUUUGUUCACUCUUUCCUGUAUUCCACGGCCUCCUCUUUUUUGGUCCACUCUCCUGAAGCAUCUAUGCACUACCUUGAACUAAUCUUGGAAGCAUCUGUGCUUAGCAGCCUCUGAUGGGUGGCAAGGGAUUCUUGGUUCAAUAACGACUCAUUUGGGGACAUGGCUGAAGAAGUAAAGCUUUCCCUGGCCAUUUAAAGAUAUUUGUAAAAGUUGUACCUUGGUCGUUAGUCCUCUGUAACCUUGAUCCUUUUGCCUUACUCUUUGGAUGAGACCAAAUGAGAAAAAGGUUAAGUGGACAUCUUCUUUAUUUUUUUUAUUAUUAUUAUUAUUUUUUGUGCUACGUGGGCCUCUCACAGCUGUGGCCUCUCCCGUUGCGGAGCACAGGCUCCGGACGCGCAGGCUCAGCGGCCAUGGCUCACGGGCCCAGCCGCUCCGUGGCAUGUGGGAUCUUCCCGGACCGGGGCACGAACCUGUGUCCCCUGCAUCGGCAGGUGGACUCUCAACCACUGCGCCACCAGGGAAGCCCGGACAUCUUCUUUAUUAACCAGCCACUGCACUGUGGGACAGCCAACACAGACUGCUUGUUCUUGCCCAGUAACUUUUCUCACACGGGGACUUUAAUAACUCGUUGAAGGAAGCAAGUAGCAGAAAAAACAGCUAUGACCUUUAGAAAGAAGAAAGAAGUUAUUUUGUUUCUAAAAUAAAUCCUUUCCAUGACCAAGGCCUUGGUGAGGUUAAAGACUUUACUGUCUUGGAGCCCAGCAAUGGAAGACAUUGGACAAAAAGGAAGCAGAUUUCACUGACAUAGAAAAGGAAGCCUGGAACAUAUCCAAUAGCAAAAUUUCUAUUAACUGACUAUAAGAUGAGACCAGACCUGAGAGACUCCACAAUCCACGUCCUUAUCCCUGUGCCACCUGCUGCCUCCGCUGAUGUGUUGAAAGGUGACGGUAAACAAGAUCAACCAAGAUUCACAUUGGACCUGCGCCUGGAGAGCUGGCUGUCAGACACUUACCAGCGCACUGUUGACUGUGUCUGUUUCGCGUGGCCUCCAGUCUUGAUGACACAGGUGACCUGGAGAAGAAGCUGGUAUCUUUUAUUGCCGAGUUGAGCAGACACCUGGCCUAAGACAUGGAGAGAUAAAAGGAAGAGACCCAGGAGGAGCUGGAAGAGGUAAGCCAGGUGUUCCGCCACAUUGGCAAGUGAGCCAGCAGCUGAGAGAUGCUGUGUGAGAGCGGCAACCCUGCCUGGAGUCUUUCUGCCUCCCAAAUCUCAUGCCUAUUUCUCUGAGGCCUCCCUGAAUGUGGAAGCAUGCAGGGAAGGGAAUUCUGAGAACUGUAGUUCCAGUUGAGCCAAGGUGAUGUAGCCCCAUACCUUUUCUGACACUAAGACAUGAUGUGAGGCUGGGGUGGGGACUUCACUGGGGGACACAGCUGUCCCUGGGCCUGGUGGGUUCCAGCACUGGCUGUCGGCAGUAUGCAGGAGGGUUCCUACACCCAUCCAACACCGGGACCAGGGUUGUGUGGAAUGGACCUGCUGUGCCAACGUUCUGCCUGUAUCAUCAAUCCAGAACCUGGGGCCGGGCCAUUCUGGGAGCCGGGCUUCUAAAAGAGUAAAUGGAAUGACUCAGAUUAAGGGGCAUCUAAACAAGUGUUUUGGGGGGCACUCCGUGUUAGUGACCGUGGUAGGCAUGACAAAGCGUGGAGGGGCUGGGAAGGAGAAACCAUGAAGAACUUCCAUCAGUGGAGAGCUCUGGGAUGAGCUGGUGCCCCCCCCGCCCCGCCCCCAUGGGCCAGCUAAGUACCAUUCAUCAGAGGAGAGGCAGGGGCUCAAAGAAGUACAUCUACACUGUGGCCUUGUGAGCAGGCGCCCUGAAUCCUCUCGAUGGGUUGGCUUCCGGGCUGCUUGUCGGCACCUGCCAACGCUUCCGUGGACCCCACCUGCUUUGCCAAGCAGGAGGGUAUCGGCUUCAGGGCUGCAAGGGCCAGGACUGCUUUUGCUUGAUUGUGAACAUAGUCAGAUGGGCCAAUGUUGGCUCCAGUGUCUAAGUCGGGGGCUGAGCUGGGAGGCUUCAGUGAAGCAUGACCUUGGCCAGCUGGUCCCCUCGCAGGGGCCAAGUCAUGAGUGGGUGAGAUGCUUCCCCAGGGAGGGGCCCCGAAAGGGCUGAAAGAGGACAGGAAGGGUUGGUUCAGCCAACCAACAUGAUCGUGUCACUUUCCUCCUCAUUGAGUGUGAAUUAGAACCCCACCCCUGGUGCUCCUUGAGCCCUGUGUCACACCUAGUGGUGAUGUAGGUAACACGGGCCCUUGCCGCUUGCCCAUGGCAGGUGUUUCUUCGCUGCCAUGGCCAUGUGGGCCAGGCAAAGCGGGGCUGCUGGAGGGGGCGCAGAGGCACUGCCUGCAGCCCGCAAAGCCCACUCCUCUGAGACCCUGCGCUCCUGCACCUGCCACUUGCCUGUGACGCAUGUCUCUGGGUGGCUCGACUUCCAACCCAUUGUAAUCCUCUUGUCCUGACCCUCACUCUGGGGCUCCAACAAUCGUGUUCUUUCCCUAAUGGGCUCUGGGCUUGGCAUUGCCUGCUCUGCACGCAGAGCUCCAGCUGAGGGUUCUGGACCAGGCUGCCAGCACUCUCAGGCCUGCUUGGCUUUGCCACUGGAGGACGGUCAUCAGAACACAAAGAUCUUCCCGACAAUCCCGGUGCUGCUGUCUGACCAAGCUGACCUUGUCAUUAGGGCAGUCAGAGACUCAUUUAUCACACAAGGGUGGGUGAGUACCCUUUAGGAAGGCACAGCUGUUUUGGGCUGCGAUCCUGUCUGCUCCCUUCCUUCCUUCCUCCUGUCACCUCCUCUUCUCCAUGAUGCAAAGAUGGUGAGAUUGGAAUGCCACAAGAUGGUACUAUGAUCAGAGGACCCAGGGACAUCAUCCCGUCCUUAAGAUUCCCAAGGUCGGGACUUCGCUGGUGUCCAGUGCUUACCACCCUGCACUCCCCAUGCAGGGGGCAGGGGUUCGAUCCCUGGUCAGGGAACUAAGAUCCCAUGUACUGCAACUAGAGAGCCUGCACAUCCCAACGAAGACCCAGCACAGCCUAAACAAAUAACUAAAGUGCAACAAUUCCAAAGGCUCGUUCAUUCACAUGCUGCUGGCCAUUGGCUGGGGGACUCAGUUCCUCUCCCUGUGGGCUAGUUUGAGCUUCCUGACAACAUGCUGACUUCUCCAGAGUGAACGUUCCCCAAACAGCACCAACUAGGUGGAAGCUCUAUCCUUCCUAUGACCCAGCCUCAGAAGUCACACGGCGUCACUUCCACUGAACUCUGUGGGUUGGAGCUGUCCCUAAACCUGAUCCGUUUCAAAGGGAGGGAAGCGUAGAUCCUUCCUGUCAGCAGGAGGUCUACUGAAGUCACAUUGCAUGAGGCGCAUGUCAGAUGAGAGACCGCUGCACUAUUUAGGAUACACCUCUGCCACAGAGGCAAACGAACCCACUUUUAAGUAGCCGAGGUUUUGGUACCCAAACCUUGAUGCAGAUUUCAGGUGAACUGGUUGCACCCCAUGGGCGGUUUUCUUUCUUCUAAGCUACUUAUGUCUGAACAGCCUCAGACCCAGGAGGGUCACACUGUUUCACUCCUUAAUUCUCAAACCCAAAUCUUAAAAUCUUAUUGCUACAAUGCAAGGAAAAGCCAACACCAGGGAGAGUGGGUCUGGAGAGUUAAGAGAAAGAGAAGAUUUCCUCUAAGUCCAAGGGCAUAAGUGUCCCAGGCUGUCCUCCCCCACCCUUCUAGUCCUGGGCAGUGGCCCUGGCCUGACUGCCCGUAUUCAUCAGGGUUCUCCAGAGAAACAGAACCAGUAGUAUAUAU